This 37537-nucleotide long non-coding RNA is filed under the name Manihot esculenta (cassava). RNAcentral's name for it is "long non-coding RNA (MESC_LNC003290)". The record is from RNAcentral. Lineage: Eukaryota; Viridiplantae; Streptophyta; Magnoliopsida; Malpighiales; Euphorbiaceae.
UUUAAGACUUUUUCUAGCUUUUGAAUUGACUUGCCCUUAUCUUGAAGUACUUUAUUCAGGCUUUUGCACUUUAGAUCUUGCUUGGAAAGGUCACCAACCUAUUUUUGAUUUGAAGGUUUAUAUUUUUCAGUUGGUCACCUAUCCAAGUGGCUACUUGCCUUGUUCAUAGUCUUUUGACCAUUGGAACAAUUUUCAAUUUGUGCUUUUGAGGUCUUUGCUUUUGCUGAAUUUUCUUUCUCUCAAUGAUUUGGGCAAAUCAACACCAAUCGCUAAAUCAAGUCACAUUAAGUUCAUUCACACAAUUUUAAUUUAUUCUUAAUCAAUUGAGGGUCAUCAAUAUAUUUUUCACCAUGGCAAACUCAAAGAUUCAAUUCAAAAGGCAAUUCUCAAGCAUGAAUAUAACUCACUGCAAUUGAUUCAACAUAAGUUUAAAGAGUCAUAACAUCAAUGGGGUCAUGGAAAGAAAAGCUCAUCCAACAUAGUUCAUCAAUUUUGAGUAGAGCAAAACAAAAAGAAGAAGAUGGUUGUGGUUGUGUGUGUAUUAUUGAAAACAAAAAUAAACUGAAAGAAAACUAAAAGCGUAAAUCGCAUAACUGAAAUUUUUUUUUUUUUUUGAAAAAUCUGAAAGGGGAAAUUGCAAAAGAGAGAAGAAGAAGAUAAAAAGAAAGAGAAAGAGAAGGAGAAGAAGAGAUAUGCACCCCCACACUUAAAUCAUGCAUUGUCCUCAAUGUAAAAGAAAAAAAGAGAAAAAGAGAAGAGAAGAGAAGAGAACAAAUGAAACUGAGUACUCCCCUAGGGUGUGGUGUGUAUGGCAUGAUCAUCUAGGCAGAAAGAGUGACGAACAGAUGUUCGUCUGGGAAGGCUUCCUCAACUGGACAAGGCGCGAAAGUGGAUGGAAGCCGGCUGAGGUGGUCUGCCACAAGAUUUUCUUUCCCUUUCUUGUCUCUUAUUUCUAAAUCAAAUUCUUGCAAUAGGAGGAUCCAUCGAAUGAGUCUUGGUUUUGCUUCCUUUUUCUUGAUCAAAUAUCGCAAGGCUGCAUGGUCAGAAUAGACAAUUACUUUGGUUCCCAAAAGAUAGGGUUUGAACUUUUCCAAGGCGAAUACAACUGCCAAGAGUUCUUUUUCAGUUGUUGUGUAGUUGCUCUGUGCAGCAUCCAGGGUGCGAGAGGCAUAGUGGAUGACGUCGGGUGAGUUUCCCACACGUUGCCCCAAGACUGCUCCAACUGCAUAAUUGCUUGCAUCACACAUGAUUUCAAAGGGCAAGCUCCAGUCAGGUCCCUGAAUGAUUGGGGCAGUCACAAGUAAUUCUUUAAUCAAAUCAAAUGCCUUUUUGCAAUCUGCAUCAAAAUCAAAUAUUACAUCCUGUUGGAGCAAUCUGCAUAAUGGCAAAGUAAUUUUUGAGAAAUCUUUGAUGAAUCUUCUAUAGAAUCCUGCAUGGCCAAGGAAUGAUCAAAUUUCUCUAACAUUAGUGGGGUAAGGCAGAUUUUUAAUGGUAUCUACUUUAUCCUUAUCCACUUCAAUGCCUUUAGCUGAAACAACAUGACCUAAAACCAUACCUUGAUUAACCAUAAAAUGACAUUUUUCAUAAUUAAGCACAAGGUUAGUCUCAAUGUAUCUUUGCAAGAUCUUUUCCAAGUUGGCAAGGCAUUCCUCAAAAGAGUUACCAUGCACUGUGAAAUCAUCCAUGAACACUUCAAUUGUCUUACCCACAUAAUCGGAAAAUAUACUCAUCAUGCAUCGCUGAAAGGUGGCAGGUGCAUUGCAUAGUCCAAAUGGCAUUCUCCUAAAGGCAAAAGUGCCAAAAGGACAAUUGAAGGUGGUCUUCUCUUGGUCCUCAAGAGCAACUGGAAUCUGAUAAAAACCUGAAUAACCAUCAAGACAACAGUAAUGGGACUUACCUGCAAGCCUUUCUAGCAUUUGAUCAAUGAAAGGAAGAGGGAAAUGGUCUUUCCUUGUUGCAGCAUUGAGCUUCCUAUAGUCCAUGCAUACUCUCCAUCCAUUUUGAACUCUAGUGGGGACAAGUUCCCCUUCAGCAUUUGGAACAAUGGUAAUUCCAGUUUUCUUUGAAACUACAUGCACCGGACUCACCCAUUUGCUAUCAGAGAUAGGGUAGAUAAUACCUGCAUCAAGGAGCUUGACUAUUUCUUUCUUCACUACUUCCAUCAUAGGUGGAUUCAGUCUUCUUUGAGCAUCUCUGACUGGCUUGCAUUCAUCCUCCAUGUGAAUCCUAUGCAUGCAUGUGGAAGAAGAAAUACCUUUUAUGUGAUCAAUGGUCCAUCCUAUGGCUCCUUUGUGUUUCUGCAGUACUUUUAGGAGGCUUGCUUCUUCAUGUUGGUUCAAUUCAUUGGACAUUAUUACUGGUAGUGUCUUGUUAGUCCCCAAGUACAUGUAUUUCAGAUGGCCUGGAAGAGGCUUCAGAUCUGAUUCUGAGAUUUUUUGAGGUGGAAUUUUGGCUGAACUUGGCUCUCCUUUUUCCAUUCUUGCGUGGCUUGUCUGCGUUGGAUAAAGAGUGGGAGAGAUCUGAGAUCGGGGCUGAAAGGAUGCGCCUGAGAGGCUUUCAGGUGCCUCUUUUUGCGCAGGUAGGGUCUGAACACCAUUCUGAAGUGGUGCCACUUAGUUUUCUUCAAUCUGUGCUUGACUGCAACCUAUCUGUUGGAUGCUACAGACCGUUUCCUUAAGUUCUGGCUCUUUUUGGCUCUCAGUAUGUAUGUGAUCAGUAUUUCUGCAUAAAUCACUGUUAAGAAUAUCAUCUUGAUUUUCAUCAAAAAUUUCCUGACUCAAGCAGUCAACAAUAUCAAGACCAUAAACAGGGGAUAUAUCAUGUGGAUAUUUCAUGGAAGCAUAGACAUUAUAUUUAAUCACUUCCCCUUCAAAUUCCAUAGUGAGAGUACCAUCAUGCACAUCAAUCUUAGUCCUAGCAGUACUCAAGAAAGGACGUCCAAGAAGUAUAUCAGAACUAGCAUUGCAAUUAUCUUCCUUAGUAUCAAUCACAUAAAAAUCAGCAGGAAAGACAAGUUCAUUUACUUGGACUAACACAUCUUCUAGAACACCUAUGGGAUAUACCACAGAUCUAUCAGCUAGCUGAAUCACAACUCUUGUUUCUUUGAGUGCACAUGCAUUGAGAGAUUUAUAGAUGGAGAGAGGCAUGACAUUAAUGGAUGCACCAAGAUCACACAUGGCUUUCUUUAUACCAACAUUCCCAAUCUUGCAAGAGAUAGCAAACAUACCUUUGUCCUUGCAUUUAGUAGGGAGUUCUCUUUUAAUAACAGCAGUCACUACCUCACCUACACUUACUUUUUCUCUUUCAGCAAGCUUCCUUCUAUUAGUGCAAAGUUCUUUCAGAAAUUUAGCGUACCUGGGAAUCUGCUUAACAGCAUCUAGCAGAGGUAUAUUGAUUUGCACUUUUCUGAAAGUGUCAAGAAUCUCCUUUUCUUCCUUUUCUUUUUGUGUUCUUUCAAAUCUCUUGGGAAAAGGAGGUGGAAUGUGGAAACUUACCUUGGGAUUAGUCUUUUGCGUAGGGGGAACUUCAGUUUGCGCAGGAGUGACUUUCGGGAUGGGUCUUUGCGCAAUGUGCUCUUCUGCAGUUGGUUCUUGCGCAUAGAUCUCCCUUUCAGAUUGUGUAGGAGGUGUUCUGUAACAGCCCGAAAAUCAGUACCUCUCCGUAACGGCUCGAACUAUCACCGGCACUAGGAUCCAGAUCGGCGUAAGGCCGCCGGGACCCGUAGUAAGCCAACUAUACUCGCUGUGUACCUGAUAGAUCCCAUACAUGAUAAAAAUACUCAACAAUCCUGUCAAACUCUCCAGGCUUAACUACUGCUACUCAGAUAUGCCAAUCUGAAAUGGCCCUAAGGGCCUAUACCAGUGACUACUAACUGCUGUGGGUCAAGGGAUUGAAACCCUUUUAAUCUAUAACACAAUCCACUGGUAUCUUAUCAAAGCCAUACAUUAAGCCUGAUUCACACAUUUCUCAUCAAGAAACGUAAAACAGGAUUUCAUAUAACAAGGGAUUAAUCAUACACCACACUACAGUAAAUACACUAGGGAAAGCACAAGUCUAUCCAGUAUAUGACAGUACAUAUCUAUACAUUACAUUACAACUAAUCUUUUAAUUACAUCAUGUCUACUAUGCUAUUACAAACAUACAUUCAUGCAUAUCUUUCUUUAUUCUUGCUGACUCUGACUUCCCAUAGCUAUCUCAGAACCUGCAAAACUGGGGUUAAGGGAGUGGGAUGAGCUCUAGAGCCCAGUGAGGAGGAACAAUAAAACAAUUCAUUAAUUACAUGUUUUCAUGAAAUGCAUCACAUCACAAACAUAUCAUCUCAUAGAUGAACUUGUCACCAAUAGCCCUCAACUACAUGUCACAAUAUGUCCCACUGUGCCAAGGAGACUAGGUCAUCACCUGGACUACUCUUAUCUCUGAUCUGACAGGCUGACUGUCUAACUCAUAGUACCAGGAGCGACCUGGACUAUCCAGGAGCGACCUGGUAUGGCUAUCACAUAGCCAACUCUCAUCUCUGUGUAUCUGAUCUCUUAUCAAGGGCUAAGGAUCAUCCAACAUUCAUCCUCACAAAUAACAUCUUAUGCAAUGCAUCAUAUUCGUGAAUUCUACUGCAACACAUCCUAAUACAUAACAUGGCAUUUUAUGAUGCAUGAAUCAUGCUAGAACCGUGUCAUUUCUCAAGUUAAAAUAUUAAGUUUAGUUCUACUCACCUCUGCUCCUCAAGAAGAUACUGAACUGACUCUGUAAGCACUAACACUGACGACUUCCUCGAUCUCUCGGGUCCAAACCUACACAAGUGGACUCGAAUGAGGUGUCAAACUAGCUCAACAAUCACUCUAUAGAAUUCCCCAUAAACCCCUUAAAAAGCUCUUAGAACAAUCACAUAAAGCAUGCAAAAGAAGGCUGGACAGAACACUUUCGGCGGCAGGUUCGGCGGCCGAAUGUCCUCUCCAGAGCCGAAACUCAAGCACCUUCGGUGGCCGAAUCUCUACUUUCGACAGCCGAAUCCUUUCGGGGGCAAAGUUCGGGGGCUGAAACACACUGAUAGAGCAUAUUUUAGCCCAUAUUUUCAUGAUCUUAUUAAUGUUUAUUUGCACCUAUUCUACCUAAUUUUGUGGUUUUAAUCAUGUUUUGCAAAUAUUAGGUGUGAAGAAACAAAUUGGAGAAAAUGCUCUUAAAAGUGCCAAAGAAUGCCAAAAAACAGCCACUUUCGGAAGCACCUUCGGAAGCACUUUCGAAAGCCAAAAGUCACCCACCUUCGGAACCACUUUCGGAACCACUUUCGGAAGCCGAAAGUCACCCACUUUCGGGGGCACUUUCGGCGGCCUAAAGUCAAGUCCAGAGGCGAAACUCCACCACUUUCGGGGGCACCUUCUGCCGCCGAACCUUGCGUCCAGAGCCGAAAGUCCAGCCUCCGAAACUCAUUUUAGGCAGCCGAAAAUCACCUUCAAUGCACUCUUUCCUUGUUCAAGAAGCCAUAUCCCAAGUUGCCAUAUUUGAGGAGCCAAAUAAGGGAAAUAUCUUGAGAUCCAAAUCUUCAAUAUUCACAUUCAAUUAUUGGAUUUCAAGAUCCCCCUUAUUAAGGAAAGAAAAUCCAAAGAUCACAUGCUUCCUACUUAGUGCCAUGCACAUUCAAAAUUUAAAAGGAGGCUCCACCUUCCUUAUUAGUGCAUGGGCAGCCUCUUAACUCUUUAGGCAACAUCUUGGAGACCUUGGGCAGCAAGUAAAAAGACCAAAGAGCCCCCACUUGCCUUCCAUCACAUACAACUCGUUUUUGCCUUCAUACAUGCACAAACAAGGCACAUGCAACACCAAGGACACUUUGGACAGCCUCUAAAAAGUCUCCUGGACUUCCAUGAAACCCUAGGCAGCCUCUCAAGAUCUAUUUAAAGGCUUCAAGAAGACAAGAAAGGCAGAUUUUGAAUCUCCCAACCUCUCCAAGGUUUGGCCGCCACUCCUCCACCACUUGUGCCACCACCGGUUCUUCCAUCUUCUUCUUUUCUUUUAUUUUCUGUUUUGGUUCAGCCAUGAGUGGCUGAAACCCUCUUUCUAGUUGAGGAUUGAUUGAAACUAAGGUUGUUUAAAAGGUUGUGAGAUCUGAAUAGAAACUUUUGUCUUUGAUUUUAUUCAAUAUUCAUGCAAUUAUGCUUAAUUCCAAGAUUGCUUUGUUGUUUUGAUCAAAUUGGCCACUUGAUUCUUGAUUGCAAAGUUAAUUAAUUGUUGGAUUAGGAUAUUUGUUAGUCCGUAAUUGCUGGAAAUAUUUUGAUCUAAGAACACUUGGUGUAAAAAUCCAAGGAAUUGCAUGAUCUAACAUCAUCUCAUGCGUUUGAGUAGUUAAGGUUUGGAUCUUUCUUGUUCUUCAUGCAAUUGGCAAUUGUUUUGAUGCCUAUGGCCCAAGGACGUUCCUUGGCAAUUUGUUGAUUAGUAAUUGGUUAGACGAUGUUCCCUAAUCAAUUUGUUCAUAAGGAAAGACAUGGUGGUGAGAAGCGUCUUCCACUCCCAUAACCAACCUAUUGAAUCAAUCAAGAUAACCAUGUUUCAAUGAUCAACCCAAACAACCAAAGUGGAUCCAUAUCUUCAACUAUACUUUUCUCUUAUUGAUUUCUCUCUUAUUUUAGAUUACUUGCUGUUUUAAUUGCUUUCAAUAGUUAUUAGACAAAUCAAUCUCAAAACCCCCCUUUUUACUUUCCUUGCAUUUUACUUUUACUCUAUUUGCGAUUACUUGCUUUCUAUUGUGUUUUCAAUUAGUUCUAUUGGUCUUGAUUGAGAUAAAUAAAUAGGUAUCAAUUCUCUGUGGAUACGAUCCUUCACCACUGUCUACAGUUGUAAAUUGUAGGUAACCAAGAAGGUUAUUUUUGACCGGCUUCGACAACCGCUCCUGUGAAAAAUUGGCGCCGUUGCCGGGGAACUGAUUUCACUUGUUUAUUUUUCUUUCAUGACCAGAUCUGAAAGUAGGGACACACUGCCCUUUGAUCCAGAAAUCGAACGCACUCUCAGAAGACUUGGAAAGCAAGCCGCAGAACCUUCUGCCCAACAUUCGGCCGCCGAACCCAACCCACAUUCGGCCGCCGAAAGUCCGACACUCCAGCAACCCAAUCUUGCGCCAAUGGCAGAACCUCAAGCACCAGCUGCUGCCCAUGAUGGACAUGCUGUCCAAGGCCAGAUAGUUCAAGAAAAUCCAGCAAAUAGGCCACAAGCACAAAGGGAGAGAACCAUGAGGGAGUUAGCAACUCCUAUAGGUGAUUAUGCUCCACUUUGCAUCACCUAUCCACCUCUAAUAGUUCCCUUUGAACUGAAAUCAGGUUUGAUUCAUCAACUCCCUAAAUUUAGAGGUUUACCAAAUGAAAAUCCACAUAAGCACUUAAAAGAAUUUAAAAUUAUUUGCUCAUCCAUGAGACCUCAAGGGAUCUCUGAAGAUCAUGUUAAACUAAGAGCCUUCCCUUUUUCAUUAGAUGACCAUGCUAAGGAUUGGUUAUUUUAUUUGCCAUCUGGAUCUAUAACUUCUUGGGAUGAUAUGGUCCAAACCUUUUUGGACAAAUACUUCCCACCAUCUAAAUCAAUUGGCAUAAUAAGAGAAAUCACUAGCAUAAAGCAAAGACCAACUGAGGACUUAUAUGAUUAUUGGGAAAGGUUUGAAAGACUUUAUACAGGUUGUCCACAACAUGAUAUGUCAGACAAGGCCCUCAUUCAGUUCUUCUAUGAAGGAUUGACUCCAUCAGAAAGGAAACUCAUAACUGUAGCCUGUGGAGGAUCUAUCCUAGACAAGACACCUAGGGAGAUGAAGGAACUCAUAUCCAACCUUGCAGCUUCAUCUAAGCAAUAUGAAGAAGAGGGGCAAACGCAAAGAGGAACCUAUGAGGUAAGUAUAUCCUCUGUUGAAUCUCAAAUUUCAAAACUAACUUCUCUUGUGGAAAAGAUCGCCCUUGGCCAGAUCCAACAAAAUCAAGCACCCCAGCCUCCUAGGCCAUGUGAGAUUUGUUUAGGUGUGGGACACCCAACUGAUCAAUGUCCCACACUCCAAGAAGACCAUCAGCAAGCCAAUGCAAUUGGGAGGUACAACAACCAACCUAGACAUGAUCCCUAUUCCAGUACGUACAAUCCAGGUUGGAGGGACCACCCCAACUUCAGCUAUGGAAAGACCGACAAUAAUCAGAAUUACCAAAGUUACCAAAGAAAUCAAGCUCAACCAGCACCCUCAAAUCCAAAUCAGAACCUUGAGAAGAUCAUGCAAACAAUGAUGGAAACCAUGGUGAACACCAUGCAAAGCGUGCGACAAGACCUAAGCCAAAUGGCCACCUCUAUAGGCCAACUGCAAACCCAAGGUAAGCUCCCUUCUCAAACUGAAACUAACCCUAGACAAAAUGUCAGUGCUAUUACUUUGAGAAGUGGCAAAGAACUUCAAGAUGCUAAUCAUGAGCAAGAAAAGGAAGUUGAACCAAGGCCACCUGAAGCCUCUCCAUCUCAAUCUGAACCACCUCAUGCGCACAAAGCUUAUCCAAAGGGAAGUUUCCACAUCCCACCACCUUUUCCAAAAAGAUUUGAAAGAACGCAAAAAGAAAAAGAGGAAAAGGAGAUCCUUGAGACAUUUAGAAAAGUGGAGAUCAACAUACCACUGCUAGAUGCUGUCAAGCAAAUUCCUAGAUAUGCCAAAUUUCUGAAAGAAUUGUGCACCAACAGAAGAAAGCUUGCUGAAAGAGAGAAAGUAAGUGUAGGUGAGGUAGUUACUGCUGUUAUUAAAAGAGAACUCCCCACCAAAUGCAAGGACAAAGGUAUAUUUGCUAUCUCUUGUAAAAUUGGGAAUGUUGGUAUCAAGAAAGCCAUGUGUGAUCUUGGUGCAUCCAUUAAUGUCAUGCCUCUCUCCAUCUAUAAAUCUCUCAAUGCAUGUGCACUAAAAGAAACAAGGGUUGUGAUACAAUUGGCUGAUAGAUCUGUGGUAUAUCCCAUAGGUGUUUUAGAAGAUGUCUUAGUCCAAGUAGGUGAACUUGUCUUUCCUGUUGACUUUUAUGUGAUUGAUACCAAGGAAGACAGUUGCAAUACUAGUUCUGACAUUCUUCUUGGACGUCCUUUCUUGAGUACUGCUAGAACUAAAAUUGAUGUGCAUGAUGGUACUCUUACCAUGGAGUUUGAAGGGGAAGUAAUCAAGUACAAUGUUUAUGAAGCCAUGAAAUAUCCUCAUGAUAUGUUCCCUGUUUAUGGUCUUGAUAUUAUUGAUUGUUUGAGCCAAGAUGUGUUUAAUGAAAAUCAAGAUUCUGUUUUAGAUGAUGAUCUUUGCAGGAUUGAAAACCUGAAACUAAAAGAAACAAUCUGCAGCAUUCAGCAAGUUGAGAUCAAGCAGACAGAAGAUCUUCGGCCGCCGAACAUAGCUCACUUUCGGCCGCCGAACUCCACUGACCUUCAGACACCACCUUCUGUCGCACCACUUCAGGAAAACAUUGCUCGGAAAGAAGACAUUCUUCGGCCGCCGAACAUCUUUCGGCUGCCGAACCUCACUGACUUGCGGAAGCCGAAUCCAUCGCCAAAGCUCAUUCCGCAAGUUGAAGAACUUCGGCCGCCGAACCCAGCACCUUUUCGGCCGCCGAACCUCUCCCAGCAGAAUCCACUGCAAGCAUGCCUUCCUGAAUCUGAAGAAACCAAGGAAGACCUCCUUGAACAAAUCUUCCUUACCCAGUCUAAUGAGCCAUGGUACGCCGAUAUGGUAAACUACUUGGCCACAGGUAACUUACCUUCUGAUAUGCCCAAGCACACUAAGGAUAAAAUAAAAAAGGAUGCCAAAUACUAUGUUUGGGAUGAGCCAUAUUUGUGGAAAUAUUGUGCUGACCAAAUGAUAAGAAGAUGCAUUCCUGAUCAAGAAAUAACCUCUGUACUUACUUUUUGUCAUUCAUAUAGUUGUGGAGGACACUUUGGUCCAAGGAAAACUGCUCAUAAGAUACUUGAAAGUGGCCUAUUUUGGCCCACCAUGUUUCGAGAUGCUUUUCUGUUUUGCAGGACAUGUGCUAGGUGUCAACAGACUGGAAAUCUGAACAAAAGAAAUCAAAUGCCACAAAACCCCAUCAUGGUUUGUGAGGUAUUUGAUGUUUGGGGCAUAGACUUCAUGGGACCAUUCCCACCAUCCUUUGGAUACACUUAUAUCAUCUUUGCAGUGGAUUAUGUAUCCAAGUGGGUGGAGGCUAGAGCAACUAAGACUGAUGAUGCCAAGGCAGUGAUAGACUUUGUGAAAACCAACAUCUUUGCCAGACAUGGAGUACCAAAAGCAAUCAUCAGUGAUAAAGGGACCCAUUUUUGCAAUAGGGUAGUGGAAAGCCUUCUUAGAAAACACAAUGUCAUCCACAGAACAUCCACAGCCUACCACCCUCAGACGAAUGGACAAGCUGAAGUGUCCAACAGAGAAAUCAAAGCCAUCCUUGAAAAGACAGUUUCUCCCAACCGAAAGGAUUGGAGCUCAAGAUUAGAGGAUGCCUUAUGGGCCUACAGAACAACCUACAAGACUCCCAUAGGUAUGUCUCCUUAUAGACUUGUCUAUGGAAAAGCUUGUCACCUCCCAGUUGAGCUUGAGCACAAAGCAUAUUGGGCUGUAAAGAACUGCAACAUGGACCUCAAAGAAGCCGGACACCAUCAUAAGUUACAACUGCAAGAACUUGAGGAAAUAAGACGAGAUGCAUAUGAGAACUCUUGGAACUACAAAACAAAGACCAAAGCCUCCCAUGACAAUCAUCUUUUAAGAAAACAAUUUGAGGUUGGUGAUAAAGUCUUACUUUUUGACUCUCGCCUGAAACUGUUCCCAGGAAAGCUACGAUCUAGGUGGAUUGGACCAUUCAUUGUAGAACAUGCAUACCCACAUGGAGCUGUAGACAUCCGAAGCAUAGAAACUGGAAAAAUCUUCAAGGUUAAUGGACAUCGUCUUAAACCAUACUUUGAAGGGUUCGCAGUACAAGUAGUGGAAGAAAUUCCACUACAACAUCCUUCUGCCUAGAGGAUCAUGCCAUGCACACCACACCCCAGGGGAGUAUUCAGAUUCCUUUGUUCUCUUUUUUCCUUCUUUUACAUUGAGGACAAUGCAUAAUUUAAGUGUGGGGGUGCAUAUAGCUUCUUCUUCUUCUUCUCUUCUUCUGCGAUUUUCUCAUGCUUUCAGAUUGCAAAUUUUUCUUUUUCUUUUCUUUUUCCUUUCAGUCUUAAGUUAAUUAGCCACAGUUAAAUUUUAAUUUGUUUAUGCUUUCAAUAAAACACACACAACCACAACCUUCUUCUUCUUCUUUUUGUUUUGCUCUACUCAAACUGAUGAACUAUGUUAGAUGAGUUUUUCUUUCCAAGACCCCAUUGAUGUGAUAACUCUUUAAACUUAUGUUGAAUCAAUUGCAGUGAGUUGUAUUCAUGCUUGAGAAUUGCCUUUUGAAUUGAAUCUUCGAGUUUACUAUGGUGAAAAAUAUAUUGAUGACCCUCAAUCGAUUGAGAAUAAAUUAAAAUUGUGUGAAUGAACUUAACAUGACUUGAUUUAGCAAUUGGUGUUGAUUUGCCCAAAUCAUUGAGAGAAAGAAAAUUCAGCAAAGGCAAAGACCUCAAAAGCACAAAUUGAAAAUUGUUUCAAUGGUCAAAAGACUAUGAACAAGGCAAGUAGCCACUUGGAUAGGUGACCAACUGAAAAAUAUAAACCUCCAAAUCAAAAAUAGGUUGGUGAUCUUUCCAAGCAAGAUCUAAAGUGAAAAAGCCUGAAUAAAGUACUUCAAGGUAAGGGCAAGUCAAUCCAAAAGUUAGAAAAAGUCUUAACAAAUUAAUGUGCAUGUCUCUCUUGAGGAAAACAAAUCCUAGCCAUGGUAAGCAAAGGGAAACAAGGAAAGGGGGUAAGUAAUCUUCAUGCAUAUAUUCUUCACUGCAAUGCUUCAAAAUAAGUGUCUAGAGUAUGAGCUUAAGUGGUAAUAAGGAUCUAGAGGAAGAGAACUUAUUUGACUAUGUUUAUUUGCUUGAGAACAAGCAAAAGCUUAAGUGUUGGGGUAUUUGAUAGAGCAUGUUUUAGCCCAUAUUUUCAUGAUCUUAUUAAUGUUUAUUUGCACCUAUUCUACCUAAUUUUGUGAUUUUAAUCAUGUUUUGCAAAUAUUAGGUGUGAAGAAACAAAUUGGAGAAAAUGCUCUUAAAAGUGCCAAAGAAUGCCAAAAAACAGCCACUUUCGGAAGCACCUUCGGAAGCACUUUCGGAAGCACUUUCGGAAGCCGAAAGUCACCCACUUUCGGGGGCACUUUCGGCGGCCUAAAGUUAAGUCCAGAGGCGAAACUCCACCACUUUCAGGGGCACCUUCGGCCGCCGAACCUUGCGUCCAGAGCCGAAAGUCCAGCCUCUGAAACUCAUUUUAGGCAGCCGAAAAUCACCUUCAAUGCACUCUUUCCUUGUUCAAAAAGCCAUAUCCCAAGUUGCCAUAUUUGAGGAGCCAAAUAAGGAAAAUAUCUUGAGAUCCAAAUCUUCAAUAUUCACAUUCAAUUAUUGGAUUUCAAGAUCCCCCUUAUUAAGGAAAGAAAAUCCAAAGAUCACAUGCUUCCUACUUAGUGCCAUGCACAUUCAAAAUUUAAAAGGAGGCUCCACCUUCCUUAUUAGUGCAUGGGCAGUCUCUUAACUCUUUAGGAAACAUCUUGGAGACCUUGGGCAGCAAGUAAAAAGACCAAAGAGCCCCCACUUGCCUUCCAUCACAUGCAACUCGUUUUUGCCUUCAUACAUGCACAAACAAGGCACAUGCAACACUAAGGACACUUUGGACAGCCUCUAAAAAGUCUCUUGGACUUUCAUGAAACCCUAGGCAGCCUCUCAAGAUCUAUUUAAAGGCUUCAAGAAGACAAGAAAGACAGAUUUUGAAUCUCCCAACCUCUCCAAGGUUUGGCCGCCACUCCUCCACCACUUGUGCCACCACCGGUUCUUCCAUCUUCUUCUUUUCUUUUAUUUUCUGUUUUGGUUCAGCCAUGAGUGGCUGAAACCCUCUUUCUAGUUGAGGAUUGGUUGAAACUAAGGUUGUUUAAAAGGUUGUGAGAUCUGAACAGAAACUUUUGUCUUUGAUUUUAUUCAAUAUUCAUGCAAUUGUGCUUAAUUCCAAGAUUGCUUUGUUGUUUUGAUCAAAUUGGCCACUUGAUUCUUGAUUGCAAAGUUAAUUAAUUAUUGGAUUAGGAUAUUUUUUAGUCCGUAAUUGUUGGAAAUAUUCUGAUCUAAGAACACUUGGUGUAAAAAUCCAAGGAAUUGCAUGAUCUAACAUCAUCUCAUGCGUUUGAGUAGUUAGGGUUUGGAUCUUUCUUGUUCUUCAUGCAAUUGGCAAUUGUUUUGAUGCCUUUGGCCCAAGGACGUUCCUUGGCAAUUUGUUGAUUAGUAAUUGGUUAGAGGACGUUCCCUAAUCAGUUUGUUCAUAAGGAAAGACAUGGUGGUGAGAAGCGUCUUCCACCCCCAUAACCAACCUAUUGAAUCAAUCAAGGUAACCAUGUUUCAAUGAUCAACCCAAACAACCAAAGUGGAUCCAUAUCUUCAACUAGACCUUUCUCUUAUUGAUUUCUCUCUUAUUUUAGAUUACUUGCUGUUUUAAUUGCUUUCAAUAGUUAUUAGACAAAUCAAUCUCAAAACCCCCCUUUUUACUUUCCUUGCAUUUUACUUUUACUCUAUUUGCGAUUACUUGCUUUCUAUUGUGUUUUCAAUUAGUUCUAUUGGUCUUGAUUGAGAUAAAUAAAUAGGUAUCAAUUCUCUGUGGAUACGAUCCUUCACCACUGUCUACAGUUGUAAAUUGUAGGUAACCAAGUAGGUUAUUUUUGACCGGCUUCGACAACCGCUCCUGUCACACACUCCAGAGACGAAAGUCUCUAACCUUCGGCGGCACCUUCGGCGGCCGAAUCCCCCUUCCAGAGCUGAAACUCAAAACGCUCAGGGGUAAGCUGUGGCAGCCGAAGCCACCUCUUCAGGGGUUCGGCGGCUGAAUGUACCUUCGGCUGCCGAACCUGAGUUCAUCCAGAAGUCAUCCCCGACGGCAACAAGCUCCUCCUCCUUCCUCACGCCCAAAAACAUGCAAAACUCCCUCCUCAACAUACAUAUACUCUAGUAUAUGCACCAAGGGGUCCAAAACUAACUUAAAACCCCAACAAAAACAACAAACAUAACACCUAUACAAGCUUUCACCCAUAAAAUACCAAAACACAUACUUUUACCCUAAUCAUUCAACUCUACCCAAAACCUCCAUAAAACCUCUAUAAAUCAGUAAAAGAAGUUCAAGAUCUUCACUUACCUCUUGAAUACAAGAAGAGGAACAAUCUGAACUAGAGCAACUCUCCUUCAAACUCUCCAACACACAAAACUUCUCUUUUUAGCUUAAAACCUUCAAAACACAAUGAAAACCAAUCAAACCUAGGCAAGCUUUGAUAAAAUCCUAAAAAAUACUCAUGGAGGACGGAACCUUACCUCUGGCAGUGAAAAGAUAAGCUAUUCUUAUCCAUUUCACCGACUGGAGGCAUGAUAUAGGUCGCAAACCGCCUCUCCUUCGGCUGCCGAACCUGCAUGCAAAACCAUGCAACGUUCAGCGGCCGAACUUGGAGUUUCGAAAGCCGAAUCUAAGGCACUUUCGGCUGCCGAACUUCACUUCGGCGGCCGAACCUGGCCAAAUCCUCCUUGGUCUUUUCUCUUCAAAACUUAAGCCGUUUCCAUUCUAAACCUUUAAAACACUUGAAAACAUUUUAGAAAACCUUUCGCUUACCCUUCUAGAAACCUCUGACAUCCUCGCAUUCCACCGGACGGUAGAAAUUCCGAUGUCUGAAUCUAGCCGGGUAUUACAUGUUCUUUCAUCAAUCUUGGCCUCUUGAAGCUCUUUUCCACUUCUCAAAGUAAUGGCACUGAAAUUUUGUCUGGGAUUAGUUUCAGUUUGAGAAGGGAGCUUACCUUGAGUUUCAGAAUUGCCUCUUGAUGUGGUCAGUAGAUCCAUGCGCUGAUUGAGACUUUGUAUAGCGCUUGCCAUGGAUUCCAUCAUCUUUUCAAGGUGCUGAUUUGGAUUUGAAGGUGUUGGUUGGGCUUGACUUCUUUGGAGAAUUUGGUAAUUCUGACUAUUGUUGGCCCUUCCAUAGCUGAAAUUGGGAUGGUCUCUCCAACCUGAAUUGUAUGUAUUGGAGUACGGAUCAUGUCUAGGCUAGUUGUGGUACCCUCCAAUGGCAUUGACUUGGUGAUGAUCUUCUUGGAGUGUGGGACAUUGAUCAGUUGGGUGUCCUACAUAAGCACAGAUCUCACAUGGCCUAGGUGGUGGAAUUGCUUGCAUUUGUUGGACUUGGCCAAGGGCGAUCUUUUCCACAAGAGAAGUUAGUUUUGAAAUUUGAGAUUCAACAGAGGAUGUACUUACCUCAUAGAUUCCUCUUUGCGUUUGCCCCUCUUCUUCAUAUUGCUUAGAUGAGGCUGCAAGAGUGGAGAUUAGUUCUUUCAUCUCUCUUGGUGUUUUGCCUGCAAUGGAUCCUCCACAAGCUACGUCAAUAUAUCUCCUUUCUGAAGGGGUUAAUCCUCCAUAGAAGAAUUGUAUAAGUGACCUGUCUGACAUAUCAUGUUGUGGACAACCUGUGCAAAGUCUUUCAAACCUUUCCCAAUAAUCAUAUAAGUCUUCAGUUGGUUUUUGUUUUAUGCUAGUGAUUUCUCUUAUUAUGCCAAUUGAUUUAGAUGGGGGAAAGUAUUUGUCCAAAAAGGUUUGGACCAUAUCAGCCCAUGAAGUUAUAGAUCUAGGUGGCAAAUAAAAUAACCAAUCUUUAGCAUAGUCAUCUAAUGAAAAAGGGAAAGUUCUUAAUUUAACAUGAUCUUCAGAAACACCUUGAGGUGUCAUAGAUGAACAGACAAUGUUGAAUUCUUUCAAGUGCUUGUGUGGAUUUUCAUUUUGCAAACCUCUAAAUUUAGGGAGAUGAUGAAUCAAACCUGAUUUUAGUUCAAAGGGAACUGUUAGAGGCGGGUAGGCGAUGCAAAGUGGUGCAUGAUCACCUAUGGGUGUUGCUAACUCCCUCAUGGUUCUUUCUCUUUGUUCUUGGGGCCUAACUGCUGGAUUUUCUUGAAUUAUUUGGUCAUGUCCAUUAUUGGCAACAAGUUGUGGAUUAGGUUCAGCCAUUAGUGAGGCUUGUUGGUAAAAUUCGGUUGCUUCAGAUGAAGCUUCUGUGGCUUGCUUUCUAAGUCUUCUGAGAGUGCGUGCAAUUUCUGGAUCAAAGGGCAGUGUGUCCCUGCGUUCAGAUCUGGUCAUGAAAAGAAAAUUAAACAAGUAAAAUCAAUUCCCUGGCAACGGCGCCAAUUUUUAACUCUCGGUUGUCGAAGCCGGUCAAAAAUAACCUUUCUGGUUAUCAACAAUUUACAACUGCAGAUAGUGGUGAAAGGAUCGAAUCCACAAAGAAUUGAAAACUUAUUUAUUUUUCUCAACAAGACCAAGAGAAUUAACUGAAAUAACAAUAAACAAAAAAUGAGAUAAAAACUGAAAGUGGGAUCAAAUGAGAUAAACUGAAAAUUGGGAUCAAAAACUGUCAACAAAAUAACAGGGGGGUUUGAGAUUGAUUGUAGUAAACUAAAAUUGAGAAUAAUAAAGGAAAGCAAGUAAUAAAAUAAAGAGUAAUCAAUAAUAAGAAAGUUCUAGUUGAAGUAUUGGAUCCACUUUAGUUGUUGGGAUUGAUCACAGACACUUUGUUCUUUUGGGUUGAUUCGAUAGAUUAGUUCAUGGAGAUGGAAGACGCUUCUCACCACCAUUAUCUCUCCUUAUGAUGAAACCAAUUAGGGAACGUCCUCUAAUUAAUUACUAAUUAACAAAUUGCCAAGGAACGUCCUUGGGCCUUAGGCAUCAAAACAAUUGUUAAUUGCAUUAAGAAAUAGAGAGAUCUAAUCCUAGCUACCCAAACGUAUGGAGAUAAUGCUAGAUCAUGCAAUUUCCUUGGGUUUUAUCCCAAGUGUUUUCAUGUAAGAAUAACCCAAGCAAUUACGGACUUAAAUUAUUCAAACUAACAAAUAAUUAUUUUGCAAUAAAAAAUCAACGUAGAUCUCAAUAACAAAAUAAUAUGAGAAUUAAAUAUGAAAUUGCAUGAAUAUUGAAUUCCCAAAAUUAAACAAUAUUUGAUCAAGUCUCACAACCCAUUAACCAACUAAAGUUUCAACCAAUAUUCAACUAGAUAAAGAAAUCAACCACUCAUUGGCUGAAUUAAAAAUGUAAAAAUAAAUAGGAAAAAAAGAAAGAAAAGAAAAUAAGGAACCGCCCAGAAGCUUUGCGGAAAUUACCGAGUGAUGGAGUUACUGUGAUUGUCCACUUAAGAGUCCUUAAAUAGGACGAGAGGAGUGCGUGACCUAGCUCUCACGUGCGCGCAAAAUGGUGAACUGUUGUCUGUGUGCUUGAGCUUGUGCGUGCGUGAGUGUGCUCGGACCAUGUGAAGGAUGCGCGGGCCCAUGUGCUUGUGAUUGUGCGUGAACUUGGUCCUCACGCAUGAGUGGGCUGUCCACGGUGGAGUGCUGGCCAUGUGAUUGGGCUUGAUCCAAGGUGAAGGAGCGCGCGGGUCAUGUGCGGGAAUGCGCGGAGUGGUCCAUGUGCGGGGACUUGGGCUGUUCGUGGGUGUUGAGCGUCUGGUGGGGCCACGUGUGGGUAUUUGUCCAUGGUGAAAUGGUCCAUGUUGCGCUGAUGUGGUCCACGUGCGUGUAAGGAUGAAGUGAUGAGCUGCCCAUGUGUGGGAACUUGUUGAGGCGUGAGUGGGCUGCUCAUGUAGUGCUUGGUGGGCUGCGUGAGUGGGCUUCCAAGUGUGUUGACGGGUCCAUUGUGAAGCGGAUCGGGUGUCCUUUGCUGCCCAAUUAUUUCUUGGCUCCAAAUAAGGCAGUUUUAGGGAGAUUUUCUCCAAAAUGUCAUUUUUCAUAAUUUUCUGCAAAAUAAUAUUAAAAAUAAUAAAUUAAGCAGAAAUCAUGUAAAUAUUCAUCAAUAAUAUUAAUAUAAAUUGGACAAAAUUAUGCUCUAUCAGUCCCUCAUUUGAGUCCACCUGUGUAGGUUCGGACUAGAGGAACCGAGGACCCCAGCAGUGAGUCAGCUGCUUCAGUCUUUGUCAGAGCUAGCUGAGGUGAGUAGAAUAAACCUUUAUGUUUUAAAGCAAAUAAAUUAUAAAGUUAGAGCAUGUUCAUGCAUCAUGAAUGUCAUGUGAUGAUUUAGGUUGUUUACAUUAGAAUUCACGAAUAUGUUGCAUUGCAUAAUUUGAUGAUGAUGUGGAUGGUUAUUGGAUGAUCCUUAGUCCUCGAUAUGAUGCGAUGUGAUAUGAUACGGUAUGGUACGGAAGUCCAGGUUGUACCCAUUCUACGUCCUUGGCACUAUGUAAGAGAAAGUCCAGGUUGUACCCAUUCUACAUCCCUGGCACAUUGGAAUGUUAUGUUAUGUUAUGUUAAGAGAAAGACCGGUUAACCCAUUCUACGUCCCGGCACUUUGGAAUGUAGAGGACUAUUGGUGACAAUACCAUAAUGGCAUAUGAUUUAAAUGUUUUUAUUAUUCUGCUCACUGGGCUCUAGUAGCUCACCCCUUUUCCCUAAUCCCCCAGGGUUGCAGGUACAGGCUAGUCAGAGGAGUUAAGGUGAAUGAAGUCUUGAAUUGUAAUAGUUAGGAUGUGGACAUGAUAAAUUGUAUAAUGAUGUAAAGUUAAGAAUAAUUAUAUUUGGUAAAUGUUGAUUUUGAGAUUGAGGUUUAGAAUUGUGCUUGACCGAGUUUGUAUAGUAAUCCCUUUGUAAACAUGAUCUAUGUUUAAAAUGCUUAUGUCCUUCCAAGCUUGUGUAUGAUGAGAUGCCCCAUUGGAGCGUAUGUUGAGAGCUCCGGUGUAGGGUUUAUGUUUAUGUUUAUGUCUAUGUUUAUGUGCAUGCACAGGUUGAGCUUGGUAAAAGUAAAGAAAAGUUCAAAUUUUUAUGUAUGUUGUUGAUCAUGUAUGGGAUUAAACAGGUUUACAGGUUGUAGGUCAGGCUUGCUACGGGUCCCGGCGGCCUUAAGCCGAUCUGGAUCCUAGCGCCGGUAGCGGUCCGAUUUUCGGGUCGUUACAUUACUUGCUGCCCAAGAGGCUGCUUGCUGUCCAAGUUGUGUCUGAAAAGGAAGGACGCGUGUGGCAAGGCUUUCAGAAGGAAAGAGAUGUUGUCCAAACUUUCCUUUUUAGGUGGAUCCUUCUUUUGAAUUUCAAAUUUUGAAUACUGAAUGCAUGAGAGGCAAGUGCAUCUUCUUGAGAUCUCGCUUCCUGAAUAGGAAGAAUUGACUGUUGAGGUGUCUGCAUAUCUUUAAACAAGGAAAGAAAGAUCUGCAAUUUGAAUUUCAAAUAAUCUGCUGACUGCGCUUUCCUUAUCUGUUUUUGCUUCUGCACUUUCCUUAUUUGACACUUUUCUUAUUUGAAACUUUCCAUAUUUGGCACUUUUUGACAGUUUUAAGAGCAUUUUCACCAGAUUGUCUCUUUACACCUAUUUUCUGCAAAACAAGACCAAAACCACAAAAUUAGACAGAAAAAGUGUAAAUGAACAUCAAUAAUAUCAUGAUAAAAUGGUCUAAAUUAUGCUCUAUCAAAUACCCCCACACCUAGCCUUUUGCUUGUCCUCAAGCAAAUAAACUUAGUCCAACAAGCUCUCUUUGCUUUUGAUCCUUUAUGUCCAUUUAAGCUCUUACUCUAAACCCCUAUUUUGAAUCAUUGCAGUGAAGAAUAUAUGCAUCAAGGUUACUCACCUUCUUUCCUUAUUUCCCUUUACUUACCAUGGCUAGGAUUAGUUUUCCUCAAGAGAGAGAUUACACAUGCACAUUUUAUUUGUUCAAUUAAGACUCUUUCUAGCUUUCAUAGUGAUUUGCCCUUACCUUGAAGUACUUAUUCAACUUUUUGCACUUAAUCUUGCUUGAAAAAGUCACCAACCUUUUGACGUGAAGGUACAUAUUGGUGAUACCCACCUCCAGUUACUUAGUUGGUCACCUGUCCAAGUGGCUACUAGCUCUGUUCAUAGUCUUUCAACCAUUGGAACAGUUUUCAAUUUGUGCUCAUGAAGUCUAGGCCUUUGCCGAAUUUUCUUUCUCAAUGAUUUGGGCAAAUCAACACCAAUCGCUAAAACAAGUCAUGUUAAGUUCAUUCACACAAUUUUCAAUUCAUUCUCUCUAAUGAGUGUCAUCAAUAUAUUUUUCACCAUGGCAAGCUCAAAGAUUCAAUUCAAAAGGCAAUUCCCAAAAUGAAUACAACUCACUGCAAUUGAUUCAACAUAAGUUUAAAGAGUCAUCACAUCAAUGGGGUCAUGGAAAGAAAGCUCAUCCAACAUAGUCUAUCAGUUUAAGCGAAGCAAAUCGGAACACAAAAAGGAAGAAGACUGUGGUUGUGUGUAUUAUUGAAAACAGAAACGAAAAAUUGAAAAAAAUCACAAUGAAAACAAAAACAAAAAUUCAAACUGAAAAUCAAAGGAAAAAUAAACAAAAAUAAAGAUUCAAAAAUAUGCACCCCACACCUAAAUCAUGCAUUGUCCUCAAUGUCUUGGAAAAAUUAAAAUGCAAAAGAAAACUGAUUACUCCCCUGGGUGUGGUGCGCAUGGUGCGAUCCAUUUGAUCAAGGCUCAAGUAAUUGGGGAAGGGAAAAGGGUCCCAACUGAAUUGAGUGAAAAGUGUAGCACUCCUUUUGAUUUGGUCAUAUCCCAUCCUAUUUUUUUCAUGUACUCAUGAAGCAACAUGAUUAGCUUCUCCUCUUUCAGGUGAGGUGUGCCUCUAGCCCUUAUGUUUGCAUUUUUGAGAUGAUUGGGCAAUACUUUGAACUCCAAUUCAUGUUUCUCCAUGGCUAGUUGCAAUCUAGUACUGAAUUCAGGCAAAACAAACUCUACCUUAUCCGGAGGUUUGAGCAGGCAUUGAUCCGCAUGGUCCUUUGGUUUAGGUGCUUGGAAUACCAUUUGUUCCAUGUGCGCAUGGACUGUUUGCAUUGGCUGUAUGGUUGAAUUGGUUUGAGUUUGCUCCUUCUGCGCAAGAUUGAUAUGCAAUGGAAGGCUGGAAGGAGUUUCAUGCGAUGGAAGCUGAAUAGGUGCAAUGGGAAGUGUUGCAGGAUUGUCCUGCGAUCCAAGCUAAGGUGGUUCGGUUGGAGUUCCCUCUGUCUGCGCAAGGCUGAUCCGAAGAGGUGCGAUUGGCUCUCCCUUAUUCUGCACAUGGUUGCAGUCCACCUGUUGGAUGCAACAGACAGUGUCCUUUAGUUCUGGCUCUUUUUGGCUCUCUUCCCUGCAAAGAUCAUUGUUCAGAAUAUCAUCUUGAUUUAUAUCAAAAACAUCUUUUCUCAAACAAUCAAUGAUAUCUAAGCUAUCAACAGGUUCUGUUUGACUAGUUUGUUUGGACAAAUAGUAUUCUGGUUGAUUCUCUUCAGCAGCUUGUUCUUGUACUUGUGAGCUUUCAUCAUCAGCCUUGGCAUCUUGAAACUCUUCCUCUCUUCUUAACAUGAUUGCACUCAUUGAGGUGGUCAUUUGAUCCACCUGCUGUUGGAGGCUUUGUACAGAAAUUGCCAUUGUCUCUAUCAUCUUCUCAAGGUGCUGGUUGGAACUUGGAGGUACUGGUUGGGCUUGAUAUCCUUGAUAAUCCUGGUAGUCGUUAGCCCCUGCAUAACUGAAGUCUGGAUAGUCUCUCCAGCCUGGAUUGUAUGUGUUAUAGUAUGGGUCAUGUUUAGGCUGGCUAUUGAAUCCUUCAAAUGCAUAUCUAGGCUGACUAUUGAAUCCUCCAAAUUCAUGUACUUGCUGAGUAUUGAAUCUUUCAAAUGCAUGCACUGGUUGGUCAUACUCAUAAAGUGUAGGACAUUGAUCAGUUGGGUGUCCCACAUAUGCACAGAUCCUACAUGGCCUAGGUGGCUGGGAUGCUUGAGCUUGUUGAGCUAGUCCUAUGGAAAAAUCUUUCAUAACAGAUGUGAGUUCAGAAAGUUGAGAAUAGAGAACAGAUGUACUUACCUCAUCCAUGAUUCAGAUCUGCGAUGGUGACUUGCUUUGGUGAGAGGAUGGGCAAUCCGAAUGGUGAAGAGAAGGUGAGAUGUGUGAUGGAGAUAUUUUAGAGGUGGGAUCUGCGAUGGUGGCGUCUUCAGAGGCAGAUUCGAUGGUGCUUUGUUCCUGAUUUUUUCCUGAAAGAAAAACAAAUAAGUUAAAUCAAUUUCCCGGCAACGGCGCCAAUUUUUGACUCGCGGUUAUUGAAGCCGGUCAAAAAUAACCUUUCCGAUUAUCAAUAAUAUUACUACUGCAGAUAGUGGUAAAGGAUCAAAUCCACAGAGAAUUAAAAACUUAUCUAUCUUUCUUAACAAGACCAAAAGAAUUAACUGAAAGUAAAUAACUAAAAGAGAAGUAAACUGAAAGCGAAUAAACUGAAAGUAAAAUGGGGGGUUUUGAGAUUGAUUUAAUUGAUCUAAUUCUGAAAGCAGUAAAAGUAAAGCGAAUAAUUAAAAUAAAGUGAAUUCAAUAAUGAAAAAGCUCUAGUUGAAGAAUCAGAUUCACUUCAGUUGUUGGGAUUGAUCAUUGAAACUUAUAUUCUUUUGAUUGAUUCAAUAAAUUAGUUAUGGAGAUGGAAAACACUUCUCACCACCAUGUCUCUCCUUAAUUAUAAACCGAUUAGGGAAUGUCCUCUAAUUAAUUACUAAUUAAUAAGUUGCCAAGGAACAUCCUUGGGUCUUAGGCAUCAAAACAACUGUCAAUUGCAUUAAGAGAUAGAGAGAGCCAAUCCUAGCUACUCAAACGCAUGAGAUGUUGCUAGAUCAUACAAUUUCCUUAGUCUUUACACCAAGUGUUCUUAUUUUUGAACAAUCCAAGUGAUAGAGCAUAUUUUAUUCCAUUUUAUCAUUAUGUUCUUGAUGUUUAUUUGCAUCUUUUCUGUCUAAUUUUGUGAUUUUAAUCACAUUUUGCAGAUAUUAUGUGUAAAGAGACAAUCCGGAGAAAAUGCUCUUAAAACUGCCAAAAAGUGCCAAAUAUGGAAAGUGCCAAAAAGGGAAAGUUUUCAAAUAAGGAAAGUUUUCAGAAAAGGAAAGUUUUCAAAUAAGGAAAGUACAGAAGCAAAAGAAAAUAAGGAAAGCUCAGUCCGAAGAUUAUUUGAAAUUCAAAUCGCAGAUCUUUCUUUCCUUGUUCAAAGAUGUGCACACACUGCAGCAGUCAUAUCUUCCUAUUUAGGCAGCAAGAUUUCAUGAAGGCGCACUUGCCUCUUCUGCAUUUAGCAUUCAAAAUUCAAACGAAGGCUCCACCUAAAAAGGAAAGACUGGACAGUUUCACUUUCCCUUCUGCACAUGCAUGCCGCGGGCCCACCUUCCCUCUGAAGAGCAUCCGCGCGCCACCUUCCCUCUCCAGUCCAUUCAACGCGAUUCUUUCCUUUUCGGACACAACUUGGGCAGCAAGCACUUCUUGGGUAGCAAGGUCAACAUCUAAAACCUAUUUAAAGACUCCUUAAAGGCCAAUGGACUCUCUCUCCACGUUUUUGCAACUCCUCCGGUGCAAGACUCUCAUCCGGCUCCAUCUUCUGUUCAUAUUCUUCUUCCUUUCUUUUAUUUUUGGUUUUGGUUCAGCCAUGAGUGGUUGAAACCUUUUUAUCUAGUUGAAGAUUGGUUGCAACUAAGGUUGUUUUAUGGAUUGUGAGAUCUAAACACAUAUUGUUUGUCUUUUGGUUAUUCAAUAUUCAUACAGUUCAUGCUUGAAUUCUAUUAUUACUUUGUUGUUUUGAUCAAAUUGGCCACUUGAUUCUUGAUUGCAAGGUAAUUAAUUGUUAGUUUAGAUAAUUUUAAGUCUGUAAUUGCUUGAAUUGUUCAAACAUAAGAACACUUGGUGUAACAACUAAGAAAUUGUAUGAUCUAGCAACAUCUCAUGCGUUUGAGUAGUUAGGAUUGGAUCUCUCUCUUUCUUCAUGCAAUUAACAAAUGUUUGAUGCCUAAGGCCCAAUGACAUUCCUUGGAAAUUUGUUAAUUAGUAAUUAAUUAGAGGACGUUCCUUAAUUGGUUUAAUCAUAAGGAGAGAUAUGGUGGUGAGAAGCGUUUUUCAUCUCCAUAACUAAUCUAUUGAAUCAAUCAAAAGAACGUAAGUUUCAAUGAUCAAUCUAAACAACCAAAGUGGAUCCAUCUCUUCAAAUAGACCUUUCUCUUAUUUGAUUUCCCUUUUAUUUUAUUAUUAUGCUUAUUUAAUUGCUUUUAGUAGUUGCUAAUCAAAUCAAUCUCAAAACCUCCCAUUUUACUUUUAUUGCACUUUACUUUUAUUCCGCUUUCAGAUGCGCUUUUAGUUAAUUCUCUUGGUCUUGUUGAGAAAAAUAGAUUAGUUUUCAAUUCUCUGUGGAUUCGAUCAUUUACCACUAUCUGCAGUAGUAAUAUUGUUGAUAACCGGAAAGGUUAUUUUUGACCGGUUUCGACAACCAUGAGUCAAAAAUUGGCACCGUUGCCGGGGAAUUGAUUUAACUUAUUUGUUUUUCUUUCAUGACCAGAUCUGAACGUAGGAACACUCUGCCUUACGAUUCAAAAAUUGAACGCACCAUCAGGAGACUAGGAAAGUAAGCAAUUCGGCCUGAAAAACUAUCUAAAGCCGAACCUGUGCCUGAAGAGCCUUCUUGUGCAGAACCAUCACCUGAAACACUUCCCACGCACCACUCAACUCUUGAAAUGGCAGAAAACGUGGCACAACCUACUGUCCACAAUCAACAUGCUGUUCAUGAAGAAAUUAUACACCAAAAUCCAGCCAUGAGAGCCCCAGUGCCAAGGGAAAGGACCAUGAGAGAAUUGGCAACACCUGUAGGUGAUCAAGCACCACUUUGCAUCACCUAUCCACCUCUGACAGUUUCCUUUGAACUAAAAACAGGUUUGAUCCAUCUUCUCCCUAAGUUUAGAGGUCUAGAGAAUCAAAGUCCACACAAGCACUUGAAAGAAUUCAAUAUUGUCUGUUCAUCUAUGAGACCUCAAGGUAUUUCUGAAGAUCAUAUUAAGUUAAGAGCUUUUCCUUUUUCACUUGAUGAUUAUGCUAAGGAUUGGCUAUUUUACUUACCACCUGGAUCUAUUACUUCUUGGGAUGACAUGGUAACAACUUUCUUAAAUAAAUAUUUGCCAACUCAUAAGGCUAUUGGUGUAAGAAGAGAAAUCUCAAGCAUUAGAUAGCAACCAUCUGAAGAUUUAUAUGAUUACUGGGAAAGAUUUAAAAGGUUGUGUACAGGCUGUCCUCAACAUGAGAUUUCAUAUAAGGCACUCAUAGAAUUUUUCUAUGGAGGCCUGCUUUCUUCAGAAAGAAGAUUCAUUGAUGUAGCCUAUGGAGGCUCCAUUGCAGACAAGAUGCCUAGGGAGAUGAGAGAGUUGAUCUCAACCCUUGCAGCCUCAUCUAGGCAAUAUGGAGAAGAGAAACAACUGCAGAGAGAAUCCAAUGAGGUAAGUACAUCUAACCUUUCCUCUCAGAUUUCUACACUAACCUCUGCCAUGACAAAUUUCUUCGUAGGCCAACCUCAACAAACCCAGCCAACUAGGCCAUGUGGGAUCUGUGCAUAUGUAGAACAUCCAACUGAUCAAUGUCCUACCCUUCAAGAAGACAGUUAGCAAGUGAAUGCCAUUGGAGGAUACAACAACCAACCUAGACAUGAUCCAUAUUCCAACACUUACAACCCAGGUUGGAGAGACCACCCCAAUCUCAGCUAUGGAAGGGCCAACAGAAACCAGAACUAUAAGAACUAUCAAAGGAAUCAAGCCCAACCAGCACCUCCAAAUUCCAUCCAGCACCUUGAAAAGAUGAUGGAAACAAUGGUAAGUUCCAUGCAAAGCAUGCGACAGGACAUAGGACAGCUGAUUGCAUCUAUGAGCAGAUCUGAAUCCCAAGGUAAGCUCCCUUCUCAAACUGAAACUAAUCAUAGACAGAAUGUUAGUGCCAUUACCUUGAGAAGUGGAAAGGAGCUUCAAGAUGCCAGAUAUGAGAAAGAGAAGCAAGUGGCACAAGAGCCUGCACAGGCUGAAACAAAGCCUGUGCAAACUGAAACCAUUCUUGUGCACCACCUGCAUGAGCCGGUCAGCCUGCACAGAAAGCUGAUCACUAGGUAUGUUUUCAGAUCCCACCUCCUUUUCCAAAAAGAUUUGAAAGAACUCAGAAAAAAAAAGAAGAAAAGGAGAUUCUUGAGACUUUCAGAAAGGUGAAAAUCAACAUACCUCUACUAGAUGCUGUUAAGCAGAUUCCCAGGUAUGCAAAAUUUCUGAAAGAGCUUUGCACCAAUAGAAGAGAGCUUGCUGAGAGAGAGAAAGUAAGUGUAGGUGAAGUAGUUACUGCUGUAAUUAAAAGAGAGCUCCCCGCUAAAUGCAAAGAUAAAUGUAUGUUUGCAAUUUGUUGUAAAAUAGGGAAUGUUGGAAUUAAGAAAGCUAUGUGUAAUCUUGGUGCAUCUAUAAAUGUUAUGCCUUUUUCCAUCUAUAAUUCUCUGAAUGCAUGUGCACUAAAAGACACAAGAGUUGUGAUACAAUUAGCUGAUAGAUCUGUGGUACAUCCCAUAGGUGUUCUAGAAGAUGUGUUAGUUUAAGUAGAUGAACUUAUCUUUCCUGCAGAUUUUUAUGUGAUUGAUACUAAGGAAGACAGUUGCAAUACUAGUUCUGACAUCCUUCUUGGACGUCCUUUCUUGAGUACUGCUAGGACUAAGAUCGAUGUGCAUGAUGGUACAUUGACUAUGGAGUUUGAAGGGGAAGUCAAUAAAUUUAAUGUCUAUGAUGCUAUGAAAUAUCCACAUGAUAUGUCCCCUGUUUAUGGUCUUGAUAUUUUUUACUGCUUGAGCCAGGAAAUUUUUGACAAAAAUCAAGAUGAUAUUCUGAACAAUAAUUUUUGCAGGGAUACUGACCAGGUACAGAUAGAAAGUCAGAAAGAGCCAAAACUGAAGGAAACAGUCUGCAGCAUCCAACAGGUGAAUUGCAGACAACCACAGGAAGUACAGAAACCAGUUGCGCCACUCCAGAAUGGUGUGCAGACCAUUCCUGCACAGGAAGAGGCACCUGAAAGCCUUUCAAGCGCAUCUCCUCAGCUUCCAAAGCAAAUCAGCUAUCUUCGGCCUUUCUUUCAAUCAAGUCCUAUGCAGAAGGAUGUUCCUGAAUCCAGUUCUGCCAGACAGUCAACACAGACACCUCCUUGCUUGCCCAAACCACAUACUGCAGAUCAGAAAGUUUCAGAAUCAGAUCUGAAGCCUCUUCUAGGCCAUCUGAAAUACAUAUACUUGGGAGCUGACAAGACACUACCAGUAAUAGUGUCCAAUGAAUUGAGCCAACAUGAAGAAGUAAGCCUCCUGAGAGUACUGCAGAAACACAAAGGAGCCAUAGGAUGGACCAUAGAUGACAUAAAAGGUAUUUCUCCUUCCACAUGCAUGCAUAGAAUACACAUGAAAGAGGAGUGCAAACCAGUCAGAGAUGCUCAAAGAAGACUGAAUCCACCUAUGAUGGAGGUAGUAAAGAAAGAAAUAGUUAAGCUCCUUGAUGCAGGUAUCAUCUACCCAAUCUCCAGCAAAUGGGUGAGUCCUGUGCAUGUAGUCCCCAAAAAGACUGGAAUCACCAUUGUUCUAAAUGCUGAAGGAGAACUUGUUCCCACCAGAAUUCAGAAUGGAUGGAGAGUAUGCAUGGACUAUAGGAAGCUAAAUGCAGCCACAAGAAAAGACCACUUUCCACUGCCUUUCAUUGAUCAGAUGCUAGAAAGGCUUGCAGGUAAGUCCCAUUACUGUUGUCUUGAUAGUUAUUCAGGUUUUUAUCAGAUUCCAGUUGCUCUAGAGGACCAAGAGAAGACCACCUUCACUUGUCCUUUUGGCACUUUUGCCUUUAGAAGAAUGCCAUUUGGACUAUGCAAUGCACCUGCCACCUUUCAGCGAUGCAUGAUGAGCAUAUUCUCUGACUAUGUGGGUAAGACAAUUGAAGUGUUCAUGGAUGAUUUCACAGUGCAUGGCAACUCCUUUGAAGAAUGCCUUGCCAACUUGGAAAAGAUCCUACAGAGAUGCCUUGAGUCUAACCUUGUACUUAAUUAUGAAAAAUAUCAUUUUAUGGUUAAUCAAGGUAUGGUUUUGGGACAUGUUGUUUCAGCUAAAGGUAUUGAAGUAGACAAUGCUAAGGUAGACACAAUUAAAAAUCUACCUUAUCCUAUGAAUGUUAAAGAAGUCCGUUCUUUCCUUGGUCAUGUAGGAUUCUACAGGAGAUUCAUAAAAGAUUUCUCCAAAAUCACACAGCCCUUAUGUAAAUUGCUCCAACAAGAUGUGACAUUUGAUUUUGAUGCAGGUUGCAAAACAGCAUUUGACCUGAUAAAGAAAUUGCUUGUGACUGCCCCAAUUAUUCAAGCACCUGAUUGGAACUUGCCGUUUGAAAUCAUGUGUGAUGCAAGCAACUAUGCAGUGGGAGCAGUCUUGGGGCAACGUGUGGGAAACUCACCCCACGUCAUUCACUAUGCCUCUCGCACACUGGAUGUUGUACAAAGCAACUACUCAACAACAGAAAAGGAGCUCUUUGCUGUUGUAUUUGCUUUAGAGAAAUUAAGACCAUAUCUCUUGGGGACCAAAGUCAUUGUUUAUUCUGACCAUGCAGCUCUGCAAUAUCUGAUCAAGAAAAAGGAAGCAAAAUCGAGACUCAUUCGGUGGAUUCUGUUGCUACAAGAAUUCGAUCUAGAAAUAAGGGACAAGAAAGGAAAGGAGAAUCUAGUGGCUGAUCACUUGAGCCGGCUUCCAUCUAGCUCUACGCCAUGUCCAGUCAAGGAAAACUUCCCAGACGAACAUCUGUUUGUCACUCAUUCAGCCUAAGUGAUCACACCAUGCACACCACACCUCAGGGGAGUACUCAGUUUCCUUUGUUCUUUUAUGUUUUUUAUACAUUGAGGACAAUGCAUGGUUUAGGUGUGGGGGUGCAUACCUCUCUUCUUCUUCUUCUUUUCUUCUUCUCUUUCCUUUCAGUUUUGCGAUUUUCCUUAUUCCUUUCAGUUCUGUGCAAUUUUUUUUCUUUUUCCUUUCAGAUUUGCGAUUUUUGCUUUCUUUUGUUUCAGUUCAUGCGAUUUUUUUUUGUUUUCAGUUUUCCUUUAGUUUGUUUUCAUUUAUGCUUUCAAUAACACACACAACCACAACCUUCUUUUUCUUUUUGAUUUGCUCUACUCAAACUGAUAAACUAUGUUGAAUGAGUUUUUCUUUCCAUGACCCCAUUGAUGUGAUGACUCUUUAAACUUAUGUUGAAUCAAUUGCAGUGAGUUAUAUUCAUGUUUGAGAAUUGCCUUUUGAAUUGAAUCUUUGAGCUUGCCAUGGUGAAAAAUAUAUUGAUGACACUCAUUAGAGAGGAUGAAUGAAAUUUGUGUGAAUGAACUUAACAUGACUUGAUUUAGCAAUUGGUAUUGAUUUGUCCAAUGCAUUGAUUAAAGAAAUUCAGCAAAGGCUUAGACUUCAUAAGCACAAUUGAAAACUGUUCCAAUGGUUGAAAGAAUAUGAACAGAGCUAGUAGCCACUUGGACAGGUGACCAACUGAGUAACUGGAGGUGGGUAUCACCAAUAUAUACCUUCACGUCAAAAGGUUGGUGACUUUUUCAAGCAAAACUUACGUGCAAAAGGCUGAAUAAAGUACUUCAAGGUAAGGGCAAAUCACUCUGAAAGAUAGAAAAAGUCUUAACUGAAUAAGAACAAGUGCAUGUAUAAUCUCUCUUUUGAGUAAAAAAGAUCCUAGCCAUGGUAAAUAAAGGGAAACAAGGAAAGAAGGUGAGUAAUCUUCAUGCAUAUAUUCUUCACUGCAAUGAUUCAAAAUAGGGGUCUAGAGUAAGACUUAAGUGGACAUAAAGGAUCAAAAGCAAAGAGAGCUUGUUCGACUAUGUUUAUUUGCUUGAGGACAAGCAAAAGGCUAGGUGUGGGGAUAUUUGAUAGAGCAUAUUUUAGUCCAUUUUAUCAUUAUGUUCUUGAUGUUUAUUUGCAUCUUUUCUGCCUAAUUUUGUGGUUUUAAUCAUGUUUUGCAGAUAUUAGGUGUAAAGAGACAAUCCAGAGAAAAUGCUAUUAAAACUGCCAAAAAGUGCCAAAAAUGGAAAGUGCCAAAAAAGGAAAGUUUUCAAAUAAGGAAAGUUUUCAGAAAAGGAAAGUUUUCAAAUAAGGAAAGUGCAGAAGCAAAAGCAAAUAAGGAAAGCUCAGUCUGAAGAUUAUUUGAAAUUCAAAUCGUAGAUCUUUCUUUCCUUGUUCAAAGAUGUGCACACACUGCAGCAGUCAUAUCUUCCUAGUUAGGCAGCAAGAUUUCAUGAAGGUACACUUGCCUCUUCUGCGUUCAGCAUUCAAAAUUCAAACGAAAGCUCCACCUAAAAAGGAAAGACUGGACAGAUUCACUUUUCCUUCUGCACAUGCAUGCCGCGCGCCCACCUUCCCUCUCCAGUCCAUUCAACGCGAUUAUUUCCUUUCCGGACACAACUUGGGUAGCAAGCACCUCUUAGGCAGCAAGGUCAGCAUCUAAAACCUAUUUAAAGACUCCUUAAAGGCCAGCCGACUCUCUCUCCACGUUUUUGCAACUCCUCCAGCGUAAGACUCUCAUCCGGCUCCAUCUUCUGUUCAUCUUCUUCUUCCUUUCUUUUAUUUUUGGUUUUGGUUUAGCCAUGAGUGGCUGAAACCUUUUUAUCUAUUUAAAGAUUGGUUGAAACUAAGGUUGUUUUAUGGAUUGUGAGAUUUGAACACAUAUUGUUUGUCUUUUGGUUAUUCAAUAUUCAUACAGUUCAUGCUUGAAUUCUAUUAUUACUUUGUUGUUUUGAUCAAAUUGGCCACUUGAUUCUUGAUUCAAGGUAAUUAAUUGUUAGUUUACAUAAUUUUAAGUUCGUAAUUGCUUGAAUUGUUCAAACAUAAGAACACUUGGUGUAACAACUAAGGAAUUGUAUGAUCUAGUAACAUCUCAUGCGUUUGAGUAGUUAGGAUUGGAUCUCUCUCUUUCUUCAUGCAAUUAACAAAUGUUUGAUGCCUAAGGCCCAAGGACAUUCCUUGGCAAUUUGUUAAUUAGUAAUUAAUUAGAGGACGUUCCCUAAUUGGUUUAAUUAUAAGGAGAGACAUGGUGGUGAGAAGCGUUUUUCAUCUCCAUAACUAAUCUAUUGAAUCAAUCAAAAGAACAUAAGUUUCAAUGAUCAAUACAAACAACCAAAGUGGAUCCAUCUCUUCAACUAGAACUUUCUCAUAUUUGAUUUCCCUUUUAUUUUAUCAUUCUGCUUAUUUAAUUGCUUUCAGUAGUUGCUAAUCAAAUCAAUCUCAAAACCCUCCAUUUUUCUUUUAUUGCACUUUACUUUUAUUUUGCUUUCAGUUGCGCUUUUAGUUAAUUCUCUUGAUUUUGUUGAGAAAAAUAGAUUAGUUUUCAAUUCUCUGUGGAUUCGAUCCUUUACCACUAUCUGCAGUAGUAAUAUUGUUGAUAACCGGAAAGAUUAUUUUUGAUCGGCUUCGACAACCGCGAGUCACCAAGCAAUUACGAACUCAAAAUUAUCCAAACUAAGAAUAUAUUACCUUGCAAUCAAGAAUCAAGUUGCCACAUUGAUCAAAAUAACAAAGCAAUAAUGGAAUCAAGCAUGAAAUUGUAUGAAUAUUGAAUAAACCAAAGACAAACAAUGUAUGUUCAGAUCUCACAAUCCAUAAAAUAACUUAAAUUUCGACCAAUCUUCAACUAGAAAAAAGGUUUCAGCCACUCAUGGCUGAAAUAAAAACAAAAAAAUAAAGAAAGGAAGAAGAAGAGAUGAUGCCACUUGCAAUCCCGUAGGUGUAUCCAAGGGAGAGUAGAAAAGCAUGGGGAGGCUCCUUAUGUGUCUUUUUAUAGUUAAAAGUGUGGCCCUAGGUCCUUACUUGCUGCCCAAGAGGCUGCUUGCUGCCCACAUUGUGUCUGAAAAGGAAGGAGGCACGCAACAAGGCUUUCAGAAGGAAGGAGGCGCGCGGCAAGGCUUUCAAAAGGAAAGAGGUGCUGUCCAAACUUUCCUUUUUAGGUGGAGCAUUCUUUUGAAUUUCAAAUUUUGAAUACUGAAUGCAUGAGAGGCAAGUGCAUCUUCUUGAGAUCUCGCUUCUUGAAUAGGAAGAAUUGACUGCUGAGGUGUCUGCACAUCUUUAAACAAGGAAAGAAAGAUCUGCAAUUUGAAUUUCAAAUAAUCUGUUGACUGUGCUUUCCUUAUCUGUUUUUACUUCUGCACUUUCCUUAUUUGACACUUUCCUUAUUUGAAACUUUCCAUAUUUGGCAUUUUUUGGGCAGUUUUAAGAGCAUUUUCACCAGAUUGUCUCUUUACACCUAUUUUCUGCAAAAUAAGACCAAAACCACAAAAUUAGCCAGAAAAAGUGUAAAUGAACAUAAUAAUAUCAUGAUAAAAUGGUCUAAAUUAUUCUCUAUCACCAGUGUUUCACCUUGGGGAGCUCCUGAGUUAUUUGUGAAGAAGAAGGAUGGUUCCUUAAGGCUAUGUAUUGACUACAGACAAUUAAAUCGAGUCACAAUGCGAAAUAAGUAUCCUUACUCCGUAUUGAUGAUCUUUUUUAUCAGCUCCAAGGUGCUAAGGUGUUCUCUAAGAUUGAUUUGCGGUUUGGAUAUCAUCAAUUGAAGAUCAAGGAGUCUGAAAUACCUAAGACAACUUUUAGAACUCGUUAUGUGCAUUAUGAGUUUCUCGUUAUACCUUUUGGGUUAACUAAUGCACCUGCUGCUUUUAUGGAUCUCAUGAAUUAGGUGUUCAAGCCCUACUUGGAUAGCUUUGUUAUUGUAUUUAUUGAUGACAUCUUAGUGUAUUCCCGUAGCAAGGAAGAGCAUGAGAUGCAUUUACGGAUAGUACUUCAAAUUUUGUGGAAUAGGCAACUGUAUGCUAAAUUGAGUAAAUGUGAGUUUUGGCUUGAUUGGGUGGUUUUCUUAGGACAUGUUAUCUCAGCAGAUGGAGUUUUGGUUGAUCCUAAGAAGAUUGAAGCAGUAGUCAAUUGGGACCCUCCAACUAAUGUUACAGAGGUUAGGAGUUUUCUGGGAUCAGCAGGGUAUUAUAGUCACUUUGUUCAAGAUUUCUCUAUCAUUGCAGCACUAAUGACUAAAUUUCUUAGAAAGAACGCAAAGUCUGAAUGGACAGAUGAAUGUUAAGAGAGCUUCGAGAAGCUUAAGACAUGUCUUACAUCAACUCCAGUCCUUACCUUACCCUCAGUUACAAGUGGAUUUGUGGUGUACAGUAAUGCUUCUCGCAAGGGUUUAGGCUGUGUACUCAUGCAACAUGGGAAGGGGAUAGCUUAUGCUUCUAGACAGCUUAGACCACAUGAAUUAAAUUAUCCUACCCAUGACUUAGAAUUAGUUGCAGUUGUGUUUGCAUUAAAGACAUGGAGGCAUUAUCUUUAUGGCGGGACUUACCAGGUUUUUACAGAUCACAAGAGUUUGAAGUAUCUUCUCACAAAGAAGGAGUUGAAUUUAAGGCAGAGAUGGUGGAUUGAGUUACUUAAGUACUACGACUUUACCAUUGAAUAUUAUCCAAGCAAAGCUAACGUAGUAGUUGAUGCACUUAGUCGCAAUUCCUUUAGUAAUUUAGCUUAUCUCAAAACAGUUCAGCUUCCCUUAUUACUAGAGAUCAUAUCCUUAAGGGUAGAACUAGCAAUGGAUAAUGCGAGAGCAUUAUUGGAAACUCUCAAAAUUUGAUCAGUUUUGAUAGAAAAAGUCAGAAAAGCCCAAAAUCAAGAUGAGCAGUUGAGUAAGAUCAAUAAUGAAGUAAGAGAUGGCACCCAUACCGAAUUUUCCCUAAGGGAGGAUAGGACUUUAAUGUUUGGUGAUAGAUUAUGUGUACCCAAAGUGGAAAGCUUGAAGAGAGAGAUUAUGGAGAAAGCUCAUUGUUCUGCUUACUCUAUGCAUCCGGAUAGUACAAAAAUGUAUAGAGAUCUUAAGGAAAAUUAUUGGUGGCCAGACAUGAAGAAAGAAAUAGCUGACUUUGUGUCCACAUGCUUAGUAUGCCAACAGAUUAAAGUAGAACAUCAACAUCCAAUAGGAAAGCUGCAACUGCUCUCUAUUUCAGAAUGGAAGUGGGAACACAUUACUAUGGAUUUUAUUUAUGGGUUGCCUCGUACUUCAUGUGGACAUAAUGGAGUAUGGAUGAUAGUUGAUGGAUUAACCAAGUCAGCACACUUUUUGCCUGUCAGGAUGGAUUAUUCUUUGGACAAAUUAGCAGAAAUCUAUGUCAAUGAGAUUGUAAGACUCCAUGGUGCUCCAGUUUUCAUUAUUUCAGUAAUACCCGGCUAGACUCCGGUAUCGAAAUUCCUACCGUCCGAUGGAAUCUCAGAUGUCGGAAACCUCUAGAAGGGUAAAAUCAUGUUUUUAUAAAAUGUUUUAAUGUAUUUUAUGGUUUUAAGCAAGAAAGAAAUGAGUUUUCCAUAAAAAUAACCUUGGAGGAAGAUUCAGGUUUGGCCGCCGAACCUCAAGUUCAGCUGCCGAACAUGCAUGCGCUUCGGGAGUGCUUUAGGCCCCAAAGGCAUAAGUGAGGGAAGUCCAGGUUCGGCCGCCGAACCUUAUGUUCGGCCGCCGAACAUGGCAUGCAUGCGGAGGCACGUUAGGCCCCCGAAAGUGGCCUGGCCAGCCACCUAUAAAGGGGUCCCUUGUCCGAAACGGGCGAGCUUUUCUCCCCAUUUUCGGCCAAGGUGAGCUCUCUGCCGUCCCUUAUUGAUUUUGAGCUUCUUCCUUCGAGUUUUCAUGAUUUCUUAUGAGUUUUGACUUGGUUUGAAGAUUUUUGAGCAAAAGAGCAAGUUUUGGAGCUUGGAGACCAAAGGAGCGAAAUCUCUCCCAUCUCCGAGUUAGAUCGCCUCUCCUCUUGAUCUUCAAGAGGUAAGAGUAGAUCUUUAGCUCAUUUUAUGUUUUAAGCAAGUUCUAUGAAGAUUUAUGGGGUAGAAAUGCAUGUUUAGGUUAUUUUUGAGUUUAUGGGUUUAUGUUGAGGUUUUGGGCAAUGUAUGAUGUUUAUGUAUGUUUGAUGUGUUGUAGUAGGGGUUUAGGACAGUUUGAGACCCCUAUAGGCUUGUUGGCUUGAGUUUGCUUGUUGUAGAAUAGGUAAAUGCAUGUUUGAAUGAGUUGGGAGGCUUUGUGCAUAAAAGAGGCUGAGUUUCUGCCCUUUGGAGGAACUCAGGUUUGGGAGCCGAAAGCUCUUUCGGCCGUCGAACCUGCCUGUGGUAGCAUGUAUCGGCUGCCGAACCCUGCCCCCGAAAGUGGACUUUCGGCUCUGAAAGGGAGUUUCGGCCGCCGAAUGUGCCGCUGAACAUACAUGAGUUUCGUCUCUGGAGAGAACCUUCGGCCGCCAAAAGUGCCGCCGAAGGUGCAUGACUUUCGGCUCUGGAGGGACUUUCGACCGCCGAACCUGCCGUUGAAAGUGCCCUGUUCAGCCUUCCUUUGCAUGAUUUAUGUGACUGUUUUAAGGUGUUUUAGGGGGUUUUUGGGAAGUAUUUUAGAGUCAUGUUCUUGGAUGUUUGGUCCCUGACUCGCGGUUGUCGAGGCCGGUCAAAAAUAACCUUUCUAGUUAUCAACAAUUUUACAACUGCAGAUAGUGGUGAAAGGAUCGAAUCCACAGAGAAUUGAUUACCUAUUUAUUUUUCUCAACAAGACCAAUAAAAUAAACUGAAACAAUAAUAAAUUAAAGAUGAGAUAAAAGACUGAAAGUGGGAUCAAAUGAGAUAAACUGGAAACAGAAUAAAAAUAAAUUGCAAUAAAAGUAAAUGGGGGGGUUUGAGAUUGAUUGUAGUAACUAAUAAUGAGAGUAAUAAUAGAAAGCAAAUAAUUAAAAUAAAAGAGUAAAUCAAUAUGAGAAAAGCCUAGUUGAAGAUAUGGAUCCACUUUAGUUGUUUGGGUUGAUCAUUGAAACUUAGAUUAUCUUGAUUGGUUCAAUAGAUUAGUUAUGGGGGUGGAAGACGCUUCUCACCACCAUGUCUCUCCUUAUGAUUAAAUUAAUUAGGGAACGUCCUCUAAUCAAUUACUAAUUAACAAAUUGCCAAGGAACGUCCUUGGGCCAUAGGCAUCAAAACAAUUGUCAAUUGCAUAAAGAAAUAGAGAGAUCCAAUCCUAGCUACCCAAACGUAUGGAGAUAAUGCUAGAUCAUGCAAUUCAUUGGUUUUUACGCGAACAAAACCAAAGACAAUAAUUUAUGUUCAGAUCUCACAACCCAUUAAACAACCUUGGUUUCAACCAAUCCUCAACUAGAAUUAGGAAAAUUAGCCACUCAUUGUCUAAAUUAAAAACAGAGAAUAAAUAAAAGGGAAAAGAAAUAAAAACCGAAGGAUGGAAUUCUGCCUUGCGCUUGGAGCGGCGGAAAUUGCCGAGAAUUCGGAUUCUCCAAUUGUCGGCCACUGAUGGUUCUUUAAAUAGAGCAGAGGAAGUGUGCGCCCUAUUCAGGAAAAUUGGUCGCGGUCAUGUGCAAGCGUGGAUCAGGUGCGGUGAUGUGCUGGAACGGCGAGUGGACGUGCGGAGCCUGGAGCGCGUGAUCUGUGGUCCACGUGAGGAGAUGGCCUAGGCCCACGUGAGGGAGUGCUUCGGCGGGCCCCCUUGGCGUGAAGCGCUUGGGCUGAGGCGCGGUUCGCGUGAAGAAUUUGGUUUGCGUGAGAGAGUGAUGAAGCGGGCCAUGUUCCACGUGAGGUGAAAUGGUGGAGUGAAUUUGGCAGGGCCCAUGUGCAUGUGUUUGGUGCUUGGGCAGUUUGGAGACGGCGCGGGCCCACGUGAGGAGCUUGGAAGUGCUGGUGGUCCACUUGAAGCUGGACGUGUAUGAGCGGGCCUGUUGCGUGAAUUGAUGAGAUGAAUUGAGGAGCUCGAUCCACGUAACUGGUCCAUGCGAAGCCCAUCUGCCGAGUGGUCCAUGGUGAAGGAGUGCGCGGGUGCGUGAAUUCGGUCCUCUCACGUGAAUGGGCUGUCCACGGUGGAGUGGGCGUUGAAAUGCUUUCGUGGGCCCAAGUUGACUGAUCCAUGGUGCGUUCCACGGUGCAGGGCACUGGCGGGUCCAUCUGCGCGUUUGGGGCUGGUCCAUAAGCAUCCAUGGGCUGCUAUGUGCAGGCCCAAGUGUCCUUUUGCUGCCCAAUUAUUUCUUGGCUCUAAAUAAGGCAGUUUUAGGGGGUUUUUCUCCAAAUUGUCCUUUUACACCAUUUUCUACAAAAUAAUAUUAAAAGCAAUAAAUUAAGCAGAAAUCAUAUAAAUAUUUAUCAAUAAUAUUAAUAUAAAAUGGACUAAUUUAUGCUCUAUCAAAUACCCCCACACUUAGCCUUUUGCUUGUCCUCAAACAAAUAAACAUAGUCAAACAAGCUUUCUCACUCUAGAUCCUUGUUUCCACUUAAGCUCUUACUCUAGACCCCUAUUUUGAAUCAUUGCAGUGAAGAAUAUAUGCAUGAAGAUUACUCACCUUCUUUCCUUGUUUCCCUUUACUUACCAUGGCUAGGAUUUGUUUUCCUUAAGAGAGACCAUACAUGCACAUUUUUGUUAAGACUUUUUUCUAGCUUUUGGAUUGACUUGCCCUUACCUUGAAGUACUUUAUUCAGACUUUUGCACUUUAGAUCUCGCUUGGAAAGGUCACCAACCUAUUUUUGAUUUGAAGGUUUAUAUUUUUCAGUUGGUCACCUAUCCAAGUGGCUACUUGCCUUGUUCAUAGUCUUUUGACUAUUGGAACAAUUUUCAAUUUGUGCUUUUGAGGUCUUUGCCUUUGCUGAAUUUUCUUUCUCUCAAUG